This 72-nucleotide transfer RNA is filed under the name Urocitellus parryii (Arctic ground squirrel). Its description in RNAcentral is "Spermophilus parryii (Arctic ground squirrel) tRNA". It matches the Rfam family "tRNA". Rfam says of the family: Transfer RNA (tRNA) molecules are approximately 80 nucleotides in length. Their secondary structure includes four short double-helical elements and three loops (D, anti-codon, and T loops). RNAcentral also lists the same sequence under 1 other name. The record is from Rfam by way of RNAcentral. Lineage: Eukaryota; Metazoa; Chordata; Mammalia; Rodentia; Sciuridae.
AGCAGUGUAGCUCAGUGGUAAAGCACUUGCUUAUUCUAUAUGAGGCCCUAGGUUUGAUCCCUAGUACUGCAA